UUAGCGAGCUCUCGAAGCCAGCAGCAAGAGCAAUAGUAGGGGAAGAGAGCGUGUCGUGUCCUCUGCCGCCGCCGAUGACCUGCACUGAGCCGUGGUAACCAGCAGUUGCCGCCGUCGGGACCACCAUGAGCUGCCGCCGCCGAUGAUGUAGGGUCGAUCCUCGUCGUGAAACUCUGCCCCUCGUCGCCGCCGGCCGUUCUCGUCGAGCACCUCUGCGGCACUCGUGGUCCCCCUCCGCUCCUCUGCGUUCUCCUCGUUCUCCCUCUCCACCACCGCCCCGUCGUCCCCGGAGGCCCCUCGUCGUCCCGCUGCUGUCGCCACCGCCGACACAGUCCUCACUCGUGCCCGAUCCCAAGUAGGGCUAACUCCCUCGUUUGACACACAAAAUCAGUUUGUCAAGGGGAAGGGCCAGGUUCCUCUCGUUGAAGCUCUUCCUCCGCCGCUCCCGCUCGUCCCUCGCCUUCUCUACCUCUUGCCGCCGUCGUUUCCGCUGCAGGGCCUCCUGCGGUUGCGGGUAACGGGACCUUGCGUCAGCCUCCUCCGCCCCUUCCGGCUAAGGACGCGGCCCACGGGAUUGGUCGUCUAAACGCGGUGGCGGGGGUUCCCGGGGCUAGGACUGAACCAACGAUAACGACUCGCCUACCGAUGACACUUUGUGUUCUAUGACCAAAACAGACCUUUCCCUCCACAACCUUUCUCGUGUAAAAGUCGGGUCGAGAGUAAACGGGAUCGACUUUACCUGGUAGUCCAACCGGAAGAACUGUAUCUAUAUACACCGGGAUCGUAGGGCUUUUACAAUCCGGAACUUCCGGUCCUAUAAGUAGUCUCGUUGGAACCCACCAGUGGUUAGAUACAACUCAGGUUGGAACCACAGUACAGCUAACCCAAAUACGACGGAUUGGGUCUACUACGACAGUAUACCUCCCCAGGAGCGUUCUUGCCUAACUAGUUUGUCAAAGAGUUCCUACAACUGACCCCACUCUAACUGAUGGAACAUCACCUACGUGGGGGACCUUGUAGUCUACUCGUGUAGAGUUAGCAGGUCAUGGAUGUUCGGUGGCUUCAACUACCGCGCUAUUAGCACUGCUGGGGAGUCGUUCAGAGAGAAUAACUGCACUCCUUCCUUUAGUUAAAGACGUUCUUCCACCCACACGGCCACGACCCGCAACACCUCUUGUACUCACCGGACUCCGUCCGUAAGUGUCUGGAGUUCAAGCAUUUCGGUCCAGGACGUCCCCUCUGUCUGCGGUGCCUCACCCGCUACUUGAUGUAGUUCCUCUUCCGAGGCCUCGAAAACAGCCAGCACCGGACGUCGCUCCACAAACUGUCGUCGUUCCCACCGCGUCUCUUCUACACGGUACUCUACCCCCAGGGAAAGGAGCCGUUCCACGGCUACCUGGGCGUCGACACGUUCCGUCGGCUCCUUCCCUCCAGCACGAAGCGGCUGGUCUCCACGUCGCGGUCACGCGGCCGAGACUUUUCGUAGUAGCUGUUCGACUAGUUUUGGUUCAUUCGUCUGUCACAAACACGGACAACCUCUUCAUGGUGAUCAGUUUUUACAUUACUACUAUAGACCCUACAGAGCAACAUGUUAACGAACAAUGUGCGGGCUCACCAAAACUGAGACAAGAAUCAAAGGAUUUCGAAAAACCGAACACAUAGGCCCAAAACAAAGUCUUUAUAACUCGCAACUACGCUAUCUCCGACUUUAAUGUCUGAAGCCCGAACGUCUAAAAUUAGUAAAACCGAAACC
RNAcentral lists this ribosomal RNA (1753 nucleotides) under Triticum aestivum (bread wheat). RNAcentral's name for it is "partial small subunit ribosomal RNA". Lineage: Eukaryota; Viridiplantae; Streptophyta; Magnoliopsida; Poales; Poaceae. The record is from RNAcentral.